Molecule: ribosomal RNA, 371 nt
Filed under: uncultured bacterium
Lineage: Bacteria
Description: bacterial SSU rRNA
Rfam family: Bacterial small subunit ribosomal RNA
Source: RNAcentral
GUAGGUGGCAAGCGUUAUCCGGAUUUAUUGGGCGUAAAGAGCGUGUAGGCGGUUUGUUAAGUCUGUUGUGAAAGCCCUGGGCUCAACCCAGGAAGUGCACUGGAUACUGGCAGACUUGAAUACGGGAGAGGGUAGUGGAAUUCCUAGUGUAGGAGUGAAAUCCGUAGAUAUUAGGAGGAACACCGGUGGCGAAGGCGGCUACCUGGACCGAUAUUGACGCUGAGACGCGAAAGCGUGGGUAGCAAACAGGAUUAGAUACCCUGGUAGUCCACGCCGUAAACGAUGAGAACUAGGUGUUGCGGGUAUUGACCCCUGCAGUGCCGCAGCUAACGCAUUAAGUUCUCCGCCUGGGGAGUACGGUCGCAAGACUA